GGAGGAAAAGAAACUAACAAGGAUUCCCCUAGUAACUGCGAGUGAAGCGGGAAAAGCUCAAAUUUAAAAUCUGGCAGUCUUUGGCUGUCCGAGUUGUAGUCUGGAGAAGUGCUUUCCGUGCUGGACCGUGUACAAGUCUCUUGGAACAGAGCGUCAUAGAGGGUGAGAAUCCCGUCUUUGACACGGACUACCAGUGCUUUGUGAUGCGCUCUCAAAGAGUCGAGUUGUUUGGGAAUGCAGCUCAAAAUGGGUGGUGAAUUCCAUCUAAAGCUAAAUAUUGGCGAGAGACCGAUAGCGAACAAGUACCGUGAGGGAAAGAUGAAAAGCACUUUGGAAAGAGAGUUAAACAGUACGUGAAAUUGCUGAAAGGGAAACGCUUGAAGUCAGUCGCGUUGGCCAGGACUCAGCCUUGCUUUUUUGCUUGGUGCAUUUUCUGGUUGACGGGUCAGCAUCAGUUUUGAUUGUCGGAAAAAGGUUGGAGGAAUGUGGCACCUUCGGGUGUGUUAUAGCCUCUGGUCACAUACGACGGUUAGGACUGAGGAUAUCAGCACGCCUUUAUGGCCGGGGUUCGCCCACGUUCGUGCUUAGGAUGCUGGCAUAAUGGCUUUAAGCGACCCGUCUUGAAACACGGACCAAGGAGUCUAACAUACCUGCGAGUGUUUGGGUGGAAAACCCGAGCGCGUAAUGAAAGUGAAAGUUGAGAUCCCUGUUGUGGGGAGCAUCGACGCCCGGACCUGACGUUCUCUGAUGGAUCCGCGGUAGAGCAUGUAUGCUGGGACCCGAAAGAUGGUGAACUAUGCCUGAAUAGGGUGAAGCCAGAGGAAAC
This 826-nucleotide ribosomal RNA is filed under the name Resinoporia piceata. Its description in RNAcentral is "eukaryotic LSU rRNA". It matches the Rfam family "Eukaryotic large subunit ribosomal RNA", at positions 52 to 862 of the family's 3401-position model. The record is from RNAcentral. Lineage: Eukaryota; Fungi; Basidiomycota; Agaricomycetes; Polyporales; Adustoporiaceae.